This 652-nucleotide ribosomal RNA is filed under the name uncultured soil bacterium. Its description in RNAcentral is "bacterial SSU rRNA". It matches the Rfam family "Bacterial small subunit ribosomal RNA", at positions 55 to 685 of the family's 1533-position model. The record is from RNAcentral.
AUGCAAGUCGGACGGGACUUUUCGUUGUAGCAAUACAGUGGAAAGUUCAGUGGCGAACGGGUGCGUAACACGUGGGCAAUUUGCCUUAAAGUGUGGGAUAGCUCGGCGAAAGCCGAAUUAAUACCGCAUGUGGCUACUGGAGACAUCUUCGGGACGCUAAAGGUGGCGCAAGCUACCGCUUUUUGAGAAGCCCGCGGCCUAUCAGCUUGUUGGUGAGGUAACGGCCCACCAAGGCGUUGACGGGUAGCUGGUCUGAGAGGACGACCAGCCACACUGGGACUGAGACACGGCCCAGACACCUACGGGUGGCAGCAGUCGAGAAUUUUUGACAAUGGGGGAAACCCUGAUCGAGCGACGCCGCGUGGAGGAUGAAGGUCUUCGGGUUGUAAACUCCUGUCAUUUGGGAACAAGGCGUAUUUAUUAACUGUAAGUACGUUGAUAGUACCAGAAGAGGAAGGGACGGCUAACUCUGUGCCAGCAGCCGCGGUAAUACAGAGGUCUCAAGCGUUGUUCGGAUUCAUUGGGCGUAAAGGGUGUGUAGGUGGCGCGCUAAGUCGGGUGUGAAAUUUCGGAGCUUAACUCCGAAACUGCAUUCGAUACUGGCGUGCUUGAGGACUGGAGAGGAGACUGGAAUUUACGGUGUAGCAGUGAA